UACGUAGGGUGCAAGCGUUGUCCGGAAUUAUUGGGCGUAAAGAGCUCGUAGGCGGUCUGUCGCGUCGGCUGUGAAAACUCGGGGCUCAACCCCGAGCCUGCAGUCGAUACGGGCAGACUAGAGUGCUGUAGGGGAGACUGGAAUUCCUGGUGUAGCGGUGAAAUGCGCAGAUAUCAGGAAGAACACCCGGUGGCGAAGGCGGCUCUCUGGGACGGUACUGACGGCUGAGACGCGAAAGCGUGGGGAGCGAACAGG
Molecule: ribosomal RNA, 255 nt
Filed under: uncultured bacterium
Lineage: Bacteria
Description: partial 16S ribosomal RNA
Rfam family: Bacterial small subunit ribosomal RNA
Source: RNAcentral